AGGACGAACGCUGGCGGCGUGCUUAACACAUGCAAGUCGAGCGGAAAGGCCCUUCGGGGUACUCGAGCGGCGAACGGGUGAGUAACACGUGAGUAAUCUGCCCCUAGCUCUGGGAUAGCUCCGGGAAACCGGGAUUAAUACCAGAUAUUACCACUUUAGACAUCUCUUGUGGUGGAAAGAAUUUCGGCUAGGGAUGAACUCGCGGCCUAUCAGCUUGUUGGUGAGGUAACGGCUCACCAAGGCGACGACGGGUA
RNAcentral lists this ribosomal RNA (254 nucleotides) under uncultured bacterium. RNAcentral describes it as "partial small subunit ribosomal RNA". It matches the Rfam family "Bacterial small subunit ribosomal RNA", at positions 26 to 285 of the family's 1533-position model. The record is from RNAcentral.